This 330-nucleotide unclassified non-coding RNA is filed under the name soil metagenome. RNAcentral describes it as "partial contains 5.8S ribosomal RNA, internal transcribed spacer 2, and large subunit ribosomal RNA". The stretch from base 2 to 121 matches the Rfam family "5.8S ribosomal RNA", at positions 35 to 154 of the family's 154-position model. The record is from RNAcentral.
GGAUGAAGAACGCAGCGAAAUGCGAUAAGUAGUGUGAAUUGCAGAAUUCAGUGAAUCAUCGAAUCUUUGAACGCACAUUGCGCCCCUUGGUAUCCCGAGGGGCAUGCCUGUUCGAGCGUCAUUUCACCACUCAAGCCUGGCUUGGUGUUGGGCGACGUCCUCUUUGGGGACGCGCCUCGAAACGCUCGGCGGCGUGGCACCGGCUUUAAGCGUAGCAGAAUCUUUCGCUUUGGAAGUCGGGGCCCCGUCUGCCGGAAGACCUGCUCGCAAGGUUGACCUCGGAUCAGGCAGGGAUACCCGCUGAACUUAAGCAUAUCAAUAAGCGGAGGA